This 468-nucleotide ribosomal RNA is filed under the name uncultured bacterium. RNAcentral's name for it is "partial 16S ribosomal RNA". It matches the Rfam family "Bacterial small subunit ribosomal RNA", at positions 28 to 507 of the family's 1533-position model. The record is from RNAcentral.
GACGAACGCUGGCGGCGUGCUUAACACAUGCAAGUCGAACGGAAAGGCCCUGCUUUUGUGGGGUGCUCGAGUGGCGAACGGGUGAGUAACACGUGAGUAACCUGCCCUUGACUUUGGGAUAACUUCAGGAAACUGGGGCUAAUACCGGAUAGGAGCUCCUGCUGCAUGGUGGGGGUUGGAAAGUUUCGGCGGUUGGGGAUGGACUCGCGGCUUAUCAGCUUGUUGGUGGGGUAGUGGCUUACCAAGGCUUUGACGGGUAGCCGGCCUGAGAGGGUGACCGGCCACAUUGGGACUGAGAUAAGGCCCAGACUCCGACGGGAGGCAGCAGUGGGGAAUAUUGCACAAUGGGCGGAAGCCUGAUGCAGCAACGCCGCGUGCGGGAUGACGGCCUUCGGGUUGUAAACCGCUUUCGCCUGUGACGAAGCGUGAGUGACGGUAAUGGGUAAAGAAGCACCGGCUAACUACGUG